AUUUUUUUGGAAGCCGCCCAGAGUGGCUGGGGAGGCCCAGCCAAAUGGGUGGGGUAUAAAUAAUACAUUAUUAUUAUUAUUAUUUAUACCCCGUUCAUCUUGGCUGGGUUUCUCCAGCUACUCUGGGUGGCUUCCAACGGAAUA
Podarcis lilfordi (Lilford's wall lizard) is the source of this 144-nucleotide non-coding RNA. Lineage: Eukaryota; Metazoa; Chordata; Lepidosauria; Squamata; Lacertidae. The record is from the annotation of a GenBank genome assembly.